Chelonia mydas (Green sea turtle) is the source of this 1228-nucleotide long non-coding RNA. RefSeq lists it as uncharacterized. The transcript is spliced from 2 exons. Lineage: Eukaryota; Metazoa; Chordata; Testudines; Cheloniidae. The record is from RefSeq and is a predicted model, not a curated record.
CUUCCUGUUUAUUUCAUUUGUGGGAAGCUGGGAGUGACCUAGGUAUCUCCUUUGUAUUUUCCCUGAAUUAUCACCUUGCUUUUUUCCCUCGUUGAAUAUUUUCUGCCCUGGGUUCUAAUAUAUAUUAUAUUUUGGAUAGCCAUCUGUCUUGGAUGAUUUAGACACAACAAAUCCUGCAUCUUUGGCAGGGGGUUAGACUAAAUGACCCUUGCGGUUCCUUCUCUGUCUCUCUAUGAUUCUAUGUUUAGUUAUUAUUAAAUAUUUCAGUACCACCCUUGUUUGUUGUCUUGAAAACAAUUGCUACAGUAAAUUUGAUAGCUGUUGCUCUAGAAUGUGUGUCACCUGGACGAGCUGGGUUUUUCCCCCAACAAUUCCUUUACUGCACUACAAGUAAAUGUCCCAGUCUGCUAAAUUGCUGUGCUCCAGUCCCAAGAUGUUUAAAAGCUAUUGAUAAAAUUAAAUUGGAUUAUAAUCUGGAAUUUCCUUUCUUUAUAGAUUGUUCACUGUCCUACUUUUUCUGGAAGACAGAUUCACAAGGGUUUAACAUCAGCUAUUUUAAGUCAUUCAUUUCAUCCUCUGAUUUAUUAAAGGCCACACAUUCUUCUUAGUACUUCUUCUUAAACCUCCAUUCUGACUAUCGUUAACUCAUUUUGCAGUCUCUUUGCUGAAAAUUAAAGAUACGAUUGUAACUAUUGCUUCCUGUUCUCAGGAUUUUCUUUCAGCAUCAGGUGUUGUAGUUUCACAGAGAAGCACUCAACUUGCUGACUUCUUCCAUUUUAUUUUUUCAGAAAAACUAACACUUCCUCCAGUUUCUUAAUAUGCUGAAUUCAAGUAGCUCAUGGUCACACCCUCCAAUCUUCCUCCUUUUCCUAAUCAGAUCCUUUAUACUCAUUAUUAUAAAAAAAAUAGAUAAAGAACAGAUUAUCUGGAGUCCCUAUUUCUGGAUUAGAAAGCUGUCUUCUGUGUAAAAUGAGGAACCUCUUUCAUGCCUGUUGAGUUGUAUUGGUCACUGUUUGUUAAGGAUUAUUGAAAUCCUCCUUGAGCAGAGUAUUCAGUGACUUAGUCUCUGAGGUUUUGGCUCAGUAACUUUUGUUUCUUACUCUCCUCCCUCUAAGAAGUUGAGAUCUAUUUAAGGCUGUAAAAAAAAAAAAAUUAAGACAGUAUUAGUACUGGGUCACAAAAAUAGGACAACUACCACACAGCUACUGAACUCUGAGUACAGUUGGAA